GCAAGUCGAACGGCAGCAUGAUCUAGCUUGCUAGAUUGAUGGCGAGUGGCGAACGGGUGAGUAAUACAUCGGAACGUGCCCUGUAGUGGGGGAUAACUAGUCGAAAGAUUAGCUAAUACCGCAUACGACCUGAGGGUGAAAGUGGGGGACCGCAAGGCCUCAUGCUAUAGGAGCGGCCGAUGUCUGAUUAGCUAGUUGGUGGGGUAAAGGCCCACCAAGGCGACGAUCAGUAGCUGGUCUGAGAGGACGAUCAGCCACACUGGGACUGAGACACGGCCCAGACUCCUACGGGAGGCAGCAGUGGGGAAUUUUGGACAAUGGGCGAAAGCCUGAUCCAGCAAUGCCGCGUGUGUGAAGAAGGCCUUCGGGUUGUAAAGCACUUUUGUCCGGAAAGAAAUCGCACCUGAUAAUACCGGGUGUGGAUGACGGUACCGGAAGAAUAAGGACCGGCUAACUACGUGCCAGCAGCCGCGGUAAUACGUAGGGUCCAAGCGUUAAUCGGAAUUACUGGGCGUAAAGCGUGCGCAGGCGGUUGUGCAAGACCGAUGUGAAAUCCCCGAGCUUAACUUGGGAAUUGCAUUGGUGACUGCACGGCUAGAGUGUGUCAGAGGGGGGUAGAAUUCCACGUGUAGCAGUGAAAUGCGUAGAGAUGUGGAGGAAUACCGAUGGCGAAGGCAGCCCCCUGGGAUAACACUGACGCUCAUGCACGAAAGCGUGGGGAGCAAACAGGAUUAGAUACCCUGGUAGUCCACGCCCUAAACGAUGUCAACUAGUUGUUGGGGAUUCAUUUCCUUAGUAACGUAGCUAACGCGUGAAGUUGACCGCCUGGGGAGUACGGUCGCAAGAUUAAAACUCAAGGAAAUUGACGGGA
This 871-nucleotide ribosomal RNA is filed under the name Ralstonia pickettii. RNAcentral describes it as "bacterial SSU rRNA". It matches the Rfam family "Bacterial small subunit ribosomal RNA", at positions 57 to 918 of the family's 1533-position model. Lineage: Bacteria; Pseudomonadati; Pseudomonadota; Betaproteobacteria; Burkholderiales; Burkholderiaceae. The record is from RNAcentral.